CGAUAACUUUGAUUACCGAACCGAUCGAUUCGGUUAACCGGAAUUUUCAGUUCGAUCUCGUCGGUUCAAUUCGGUUUUUUGAUUUUUCGUUAUCAAUUUAUUAUCCCUGGUUUUGAUUUUGGGAAGAGCGAGGUGACCGAACCGGAGAAUUUGGGAUCUCCUUCGAAUCUAUCCCUUUCGAUCUUUCUUCCCCUUUCCUCGUUCUUUUUCUCCUUUUUUCCCCUUUCUUUUUCCUCUCUCCUUCACCUCUCUUCCGCCCCGUCGUUGAAACUGAGCAGAGCAUUGCCGCACCCUCCGUUCGUCUCUCGGUUGAACAUCAAAAGUCGUUGUCGUAUAAUACUGCAUUCAAUAUAGAAUUUCGCCAUUUCAACUUAAUGUUAAGUUCCUAAACCCAAUCCGGGAUUCUAGGUGAAGCAUUUGCUUCGACGCACCGCUGAAUGCUACAUUCUGGAGUGAGAUUCAGCUCCAUUAAUCGCGACUUAUCCAGGCUUCUUGUGUAAACGGCAUCCUUGAUUAAAAAGGCCAUCAUAGUGCACCUGGUGCAUCCACUUUGCUCUCUACUGUGCAACCAUCCAUUGAAAGAGUGUAUACAUGUGGGAAGGCUUUACAUCUACUUUGGAUCCACCAAGUUCAUCUCCAUCAAGGGAUCCUGUACCUUCAUCAAAUAUAGACCUUCUAGUUGCUUUAUAUGGAUGGGAAUGACAAACUCGAUGAAGAAGUAUAUCAUCAAAUGGUGGCUGCUGCUGUAACAGUUAUGGCAGCUGGUGUUGCAGUUAUAGCUGCAGUUAACGUUUUCACAUCAAAACACUACAAAAAGAGGAGAUGCCUCACAGAUGAACUUGGGAAGAAAAUUGACAAGCUAGCAAAGCAGGUGGGAGAGGUGGCUGAGGCGGCUGAGGCACUGAAGAACACCCGUUACCAAGACUACACUACUGUACUUUAUGAAGAAGUAAUGAAGUCUGAAGGCUUUGAUGAGUCAUUCCUUGGAUCGGCCUUUGAUUUCUUGAUUGACAAUGAUAGAACUGCAACGUCCUUCCUUGCGAAGAGUCCUAAGCUGCGGAAACAGUGGUUGGUAGACUUCCAUGCCAAGAUGGAUGGCAAUGGUAGUUUUUAGGUUUGCCUUGCUUGGACUGCUUUUUGCUUUUGCCAUGUAUGGGUUUGAACAACUGAUAUUAUCUUUUCCCUUCAUUUUAAUUUUUAUCUUGUUAUUUUGACUAGUAUGAUGUUUUAUUGCAAAGUUUUAUGAUGGAUAAGCAGUCCCACAUUCAUUAUAAUAGUAUACUGGAGCUUCUCUCCUUAGCUUUUGUUUA
Molecule: long non-coding RNA, 1310 nt
Organism: Nelumbo nucifera (sacred lotus)
Lineage: Eukaryota; Viridiplantae; Streptophyta; Magnoliopsida; Proteales; Nelumbonaceae
Source: RefSeq, a predicted model, not a curated record